CUGUGCUUGGAUGAUGAGCCUUACGAGUAUUGCGCGAAGUCAUCUUUUUCCUGUGAGGAAGAACGAAGAGGUUAAGGAAUGGCAGAGAACAUCAGAGAAGGACACGAGGAACAAUGACGCGUUGGCAAAGAAUCACUACGUCAUUCGACGAUUCAUCGAAUCCCCAAGGUACAUUAUUUUGAGGACUCGAGGCCGAUUAAAAAAGGAGCGAGCGGUGUUACGAGUCUGUGACUAACUAUGUGAUAGAGGUCGCGUGCCAGUAUUACGAAAUCAAUGAUAUCACGUUUCUCACUCAGAUCGAAGUUUGAUGCUGCAGACCGGAUGCGUGCAGCACGCAGUUUUCGAACGAGACGGCCUUCUGCGCAUGCGCCAACGUCUUCCCAGCAGUUAAAGGCCGUUCCACAUGAUAUACGAUGAAUGAUACAAUAUUGAGAACAGCCGGAUAGGACAGAUCGAAAAAUAAGUAUAGAGGAGACAGACAGAUUAGAAGAUACGAAAAUUACAAUUAUAAAGGCUACUAAAGUUUUUAUUUUAUUUCUCUGACAUACAUUACCAAUCGAAUAUCUGUCAUGCGAGCUUUUUUUCUUUCUUUAUCCAAACGGAAUGCCACGGCCGAACCCGUAGCGGCUUAUUGUUCCAUUGACAACAGUCAGGCUGUCACGACAAAGCUUUUACUUUCUUAUGCAAAUGUACUAGGAGAGCCGUGAAUAUCGGCUGUAAAGCUGUUGGAAUCUUCUUUUUCCAUCCUGGUAUCAGUGACGUGUAUGAUAUGCGUGGGGCGGGAUCGGGGGGGUAGGAUUCAAAAUAAAAUACAACUGACAAUUGCCAGUUGUCCGCCACCAGGAUUUUCUCGUACAGAUUAAACCAGCGGAAAAGUCUAUCGAGGAGAUUGGAUUGAAAAUCGUGACGGUGGUACAAGGUUAUUUUUUUUCUUCUCUUGUUGUCGCUGCCGCCACAACGCAACGAGAGGGACUGUUUUCUAGCGAGGUAAUGACACAAUAUUAGUACAGUUGCCGCUUGUAACAGCAAUGACAAUGCGUUUUCUACGUCUUGUAAUCUUUAUUGCGUAAUGGCGGGUAGUCCGGACAAAAUAGCGCUGGACAAUGGAAUAAAGGCAAUAUCGUUGGUUAUAAAUAUCUUUAACAUUACCACCCGGUAUGUAUACACAAUAAGAGUGGUAACAGAUGUCGUAAACUGGUGACUUACUGUACGAUUCGUACGGGGCAUCUGAAUCAACGUAGACAUCGAUAUUUUCAUUGCUACUUUUUUCUCACAACUAAAUAAAUAGAGUAACUCGAUCGUGGCGCGCUCUAGCGGAUUCUUACGGAGACAAAGGUGUGCCGGUAGUCGAUCAGUCGCUCUCUGACCGUUCAGGUGUUAACGUUAAAGAUGGUUACACGCUAUGAUGCUGCGAUAA
Long non-coding RNA from Cephus cinctus (wheat stem sawfly), 1417 nucleotides. RefSeq lists it as uncharacterized. The transcript is spliced from 3 exons. NCBI's taxonomy places the organism in Eukaryota, Metazoa, Arthropoda, Insecta, Hymenoptera, Cephidae. The record is from RefSeq and is a predicted model, not a curated record.